This 468-nucleotide ribosomal RNA is filed under the name uncultured bacterium. RNAcentral describes it as "partial 16S ribosomal RNA". It matches the Rfam family "Bacterial small subunit ribosomal RNA", at positions 28 to 507 of the family's 1533-position model. The record is from RNAcentral.
GACGAACGCUGGCGGCGUGCUUAACACAUGCAAGUCGAACGGAAAGGCCCUGCUUUUGUGGGGUGCUCGAGUGGCGAACGGGUGAGUAACACGUGAGUAACCUGCCCUUGACUUUCGGAUAACUUCAGGAAACUGGGGCUAAUACCCGAUAGGAGCUCCUGCUGCAUGGUGGGGGUUGGAAAGUUUCGGCGGUUGGGGAUGGACUCGCGGCUUAUCAGCUUGUUGGUGGGGUAGUGGCUUACCAAGGCUUUGAAGGGUAGCCGGCCUGAGAGGGUGACCGGCCACAUUGGCACUGAGAUACGGCCCAGACUCCUACGGGAGGCAGCAGUGGGGAAUAUUGCACAAUGGGGGGAAGCGUGAUGCAGCGACGCCGCGUGCGGGAUGACGGCCUUCGGGUUGUAAACCGCUGUCGCCUGUGACGAAGCGUGAGUGACGGUAAUGGGUAAAGAAGCACCGGCUAACUACGUG